This 519-nucleotide ribosomal RNA is filed under the name uncultured eukaryote. Its description in RNAcentral is "SSU rRNA". It matches the Rfam family "Eukaryotic small subunit ribosomal RNA", at positions 1161 to 1699 of the family's 1831-position model. The record is from RNAcentral.
AGGGCACCACCAGGAGUGGAGCCUGCGGCUUAAUUUGACUCAACACGGGGAAACUUACCCGGCCUGGACACUGGAAGGAUUGACAGAUUGAGAGCUCUUUCUUGAUUCAGUGGGUGGUGGUGCAUGGCCGUUCUUAGUUGGUGGAGCGACUUGUCUGGUUAAUUCCGAUAACGAACGAGACUCUAGCCUAUUAAGUAGGCUCUCGGCUUUUAAACGCCGGGAGGACUUCUUAGAGGGACAGGUGGCGGUUCAGCCGCACGAAAGAGAGCAAUAACAGGUCUGUGAUGCCCUUUGUUGUCCGGGGCCGCACGCGCGCUACACUGAAGAGAUCAGCGUGCUUUACGUUCCUGCUCCGACCGGAGUGGGGAACCCAGUGAACCUUCUUCGUGAUUGGGAUAGAAGAUUGUAAUUAUUCUUCUUGAACGAGGAAUUCCCAGUAAAUGCGAGUCAUAAGCUCGCGUUGAUUACGUCCCUGCCCUUUGUACACACCGCCCGUCGCUACUACCGAUUGAACGAUUU